CGGUUGAUCCUGCCGGAGGGCAUUGCUAUUGGGGUUCGACUUAGGAAUGCUAGUCUACCGAUGUUCCAUUAGGAACAUAGGGGCGAACAGCUCAGUAACACGUAGCCAACCUGCCCUCGCGUGGGGAAUAACCUCGGGAAACUGAGGCUAAUGCGCCAUAGGUGGGGAAGUCUGGAAUGACUCCUCGCUGAAAGCUCCGGCGCGCGAGGAUGGGACUGCGGCCGAUUAGGUAGUAGGUAGUGUAAAGGACCACCUAGCCUUCGAUCGGUACGGGCCGUGGGAGCGGGAACCCGGAGACGGGUACUGAGACAAGGACCUGGGCCCUAAGGGGCGCAGCAUUCGCGAAAACUCCGCAAUGCGCGAAAGCGUGACGGGGGAACCCCAAGUGCCAGCACAAUGUGUUGGCUUUUCUGGAGUGUAAAAAGCUCCAAGAAUAAGGGCUGGGCAAGACCGGUGCCAGCCGCCGCGGUAACACCGGCAGCCCGAGUGAUGUCCGUUUUUAUUGGGCUUAAAGCGUUCGUAGCCGGCCUGUUAAGUCCCCGGUCAAAUCCGACGGCUCAACCGUCGGCUAUCUGGGGAUACUGGCAGGCUUGAGGCCGGGAGAGGUCAGAGGUACUCCUGGGGUGGGGGUAAAAUCCUAUAAUCCUGGGGGGACCACCAGUGGCGAAGGCGUCUGACUGGAACGGGCCUGACGGUGAGGGACGAAACCCUGGGGAGCGAUCCGGAUUAGAUACCCGGGUAGUCCAGGGCGUAAACGAUGUGGGCUGGGUGUGGGCUAAUCANAAAGGANUAGUCUGUGCCNAAGCGAAAGCGAUAAGCCCACUGCCUGGGAAGUACGGUCGCANGGNUGAAACUUAAAGGNAUUGGCGGGGGANCAC
RNAcentral lists this ribosomal RNA (878 nucleotides) under uncultured archaeon. RNAcentral's name for it is "bacterial SSU rRNA". It matches the Rfam family "Archaeal small subunit ribosomal RNA", at positions 5 to 879 of the family's 1478-position model. The record is from RNAcentral.